This 282-nucleotide long non-coding RNA is filed under the name Ananas comosus (pineapple). RNAcentral's name for it is "long non-coding RNA (ACOM_LNC009854)". Lineage: Eukaryota; Viridiplantae; Streptophyta; Magnoliopsida; Poales; Bromeliaceae. The record is from RNAcentral.
GUCAGCUGUCAUGCUACUUUAUUCAAUAAACAACGCCAUUCAUUUAUUCACCCAAUAACUUGGCUAACCCGAAGGUUCGCCCUCGACUCACAUCUCAAAUCCUCUAGGUGAGGAGUCCCUAGCCGCUCGACUUACCCGAGACCGCCUGCGAGAUAGCUAGCUUGUCACGCCCCGGGACCCGGCAUAGGCCCGCCCGAUGCGUGCCCAAACCCGCCAUAUGCCAGCACAUAUAAGGCGUUUACAACAAUAGCGAUAAGUGAACAAGAAAAAGAGAGUAUCUAG